Molecule: transfer RNA, 77 nt
Filed under: Candidatus Falkowbacteria bacterium CG10_big_fil_rev_8_21_14_0_10_38_22
Lineage: Bacteria; Candidatus Falkowiibacteriota
Description: tRNA-Ile
Rfam family: tRNA
About the family: Transfer RNA (tRNA) molecules are approximately 80 nucleotides in length. Their secondary structure includes four short double-helical elements and three loops (D, anti-codon, and T loops).
Source: RNAcentral
GGGCAUAUAGCUCAGUUGGUUAGAGCGCCACGCUUAUAAUGUGGAUGUCGAUGGUCCGAGUCCAUCCAUGCCCACCA